This 229-nucleotide long non-coding RNA is filed under the name Bos taurus (domestic cattle). RNAcentral's name for it is "long non-coding RNA NONBTAT015006". Lineage: Eukaryota; Metazoa; Chordata; Mammalia; Artiodactyla; Bovidae. The record is from RNAcentral.
CUUGAUUCUGAGGAUGUCGGACCACUGUUCUUUACGCAGCACCACAUCCCAAAUAAAAGCAUAGAGAAGUCCUCCAUUCCUGGGGGGUUGGGGACUUUUCCUUUCUACAGCCCUUGUUCGGUGGCUCCAUAUUACAAAUGAUCAGUUUCCCAGGCCUCUCUGAAGGCCCUCCGCUCAGACAUCCUUACCCACUGGAGUAGCGGCCCCACUGGUAGAAUCAGACACAAAA